Molecule: ribosomal RNA, 1224 nt
Filed under: Triticum aestivum (bread wheat)
Lineage: Eukaryota; Viridiplantae; Streptophyta; Magnoliopsida; Poales; Poaceae
Description: partial small subunit ribosomal RNA
Source: RNAcentral
AUGAGCAUGCUCAAGUCUUUCCCGCACGGUAUCGCCAUGCCGGCACAGGCCCAUCCAAGCUGGUUUAGGAACCGGGUUGCCACAAGAGCUGGGACACGGGCCUGCAAGUUCACCGCGACAGCUCAUUUCGAGGACACGGUGACGGGAAUGCCGGUGCCAGAGCAGGCGGAGGCGGAGGUGGCGCGGAGUCUGAACCUAGGCGGGUGGGUGCAGGAACAGAUGUUGCCGCUGCUCACCUCGGUGGAGGACGCGUGGCAGCCCAGCGACCUGCUUCCCUGCUUUUCACUUUCUUCAGCAGGUAGCGUUGCCGAGGAGCAGCAGCCGUCGAUGACGAUGAUGGUGGAGGAGCUGCAGGCCCGAGCGUCGGGCGUGCCGGACGACGUGCUGGUGUGCCUGGUGGGCAACAUGGUAACGGAGGAAGCGCUGCCGACGUACAUGUGCAUGAGCAACCGAGUGGUGGGCAACCGCGACGACACGGGUUGCAGCGAGCCCCCCUGGGCGCGCUGGCUCCGGGGCUGGACGGCCGAGGAGAACCGCCACGGCGACCUCCUCAACCGCUAUCUCUACCUCUCCGGCCGCGUCGACAUGCGCCGGGUUGAGAGGACCGUCCACCACCUCCUCCGCAACGGUAUGCAGAUGCUGAGGCCGUCUAGCCCCUACCACAACGUCGGCUACACUUCCUUCCAGGAGCGCGACACCUUCAUCUCGCACUCCCACACCGCAAGGCACGCCAUGCGCCACGGCGACCGCUGCCUCGCCAAGAUCUGCGGCGUCGUGGCCGCCGACGAGAAGCGCCACGAGGCGGCAUACACUAAGGCAGCCGCCAAGCUCUUCGAGCUCGACCCGGACGGGAUGGUGCGAGCGGUGGCCGCCGUUCUGCGCGACAAGAUCACCAUGCCCGGCCAGCUCAUGACAGACGGCCGAGACGCCGAUCUCUUCGCGAAAUUCUCGGCGGUCGCGCAGCGCACCGGGGUGUACACGGCAAGGGACUACGGCGACAUGGUGGAGCACUUCGUGCGGAGGUGGAAGGUGGCUGACCUCGCCGGGGGUCAGCUGUCCGGCGAGGGGCGGCGCGCUCAGGAGUACGUUUGCGGGCUGCCGCGCAAGAUCCGGCGGGUGGAGGAGCUGGCCCACGACCGCGCGAUCAAAGCCGCGAAAGAGCCCGAGUUCGCAAGGUUCAGCUGGGUCUUCGACAGGUCUGUCUGCAUCACAGGCAGAGCCUAA